CGGGGCGUAGCGCAGCCUGGUAGCGCAUCUGGUUUGGGACCAGGAGGUCGCACGUUCGAAUCGUGUCGCCCCGACCA
Molecule: transfer RNA, 77 nt
Filed under: Hylemonella gracilis
Lineage: Bacteria; Pseudomonadati; Pseudomonadota; Betaproteobacteria; Burkholderiales; Comamonadaceae
Description: tRNA-Pro
Rfam family: tRNA
About the family: Transfer RNA (tRNA) molecules are approximately 80 nucleotides in length.
Source: RNAcentral